RNAcentral lists this ribosomal RNA (672 nucleotides) under Klebsiella pneumoniae. RNAcentral describes it as "partial 23S ribosomal RNA". It matches the Rfam family "Bacterial large subunit ribosomal RNA", at positions 2259 to 2925 of the family's 2925-position model. Lineage: Bacteria; Pseudomonadati; Pseudomonadota; Gammaproteobacteria; Enterobacterales; Enterobacteriaceae. RNAcentral also lists the same sequence under 2 other names. The record is from RNAcentral.
UGGUGGGUAGUUUGACUGGGGCGGUCUCCUCCCAAAGCGUAACGGAGGAGCACGAAGGUUAGCUAAUCCUGGUCGGACAUCAGGAGGUUAGUGCAAUGGCAUAAGCUAGCUUGACUGCGAGCGUGACGGCGCGAGCAGGUGCGAAAGCAGGUCAUAGUGAUCCGGUGGUUCUGAAUGGAAGGGCCAUCGCUCAACGGAUAAAAGGUACUCCGGGGAUAACAGGCUGAUACCGCCCAAGAGUUCAUAUCGACGGCGGUGUUUGGCACCUCGAUGUCGGCUCAUCACAUCCUGGGGCUGAAGUAGGUCCCAAGGGUAUGGCUGUUCGCCAUUUAAAGUGGUACGCGAGCUGGGUUUAGAACGUCGUGAGACAGUUCGGUCCCUAUCUGCCGUGGGCGCUGGAGAAUUGAGGGGGGCUGCUCCUAGUACGAGAGGACCGGAGUGGACGCAUCACUGGUGUUCGGGUUGUCAUGCCAAUGGCACUGCCCGGUAGCUAAAUGCGGAAGAGAUAAGUGCUGAAAGCAUCUAAGCACGAAACUUGCCCCGAGAUGAGUUCUCCCUGAGACUAUAAGUCUCCUGAAGGAACGUUGAAGACGACGACGUUGAUAGGCCGGGUGUGUAAGCGCAGCGAUGCGUUGAGCUAACCGGUACUAAUGAACCGUGAGGCUUAACCUU